UAUUCCCAUACUCGUUUCUGCAUUUGUAAAGUAGUAAUGCUCACGUAUGUGCGAUUUUUUUUUUUUUUUUUAUUAAUUAUAUAUUGUUCUAUACUAUUCCAUUUUUGUUAUAUAUAUAUACAUAUAUAUAUAUAUAUAUGUAUAUAUUACCUGGGUAAUACCCCCAUUAUUGCUUUUUGUUUUAUAGCAUGUUCCGAGUGACGAAAAAAUAGACUACGAAAUAGAACUAUUUUUUAGAGAGGAAGAUAUGAAUAGUGAGACUGGUAUUUUAUUAAUAAAAAAAAGUAUAGUAAAUCCAGAUGCGUUAUUUCAGUUAAGAGAUUAUUUAAAUUUGUACGGUUUCAAAAUAUUAGAAGAAAAAGUUAUAAAUAUUAAUAAUUCGAUGUUAACGUAUUUAAUUGGUGAAAAUAAAAAUAAAAAACAAGUUAAUAGACAAGAUAGUAGAACGUUAAAAAGUAACAAUGAAAAAUUUAUCAUCAUUUUAGUUUACAGAAUGAAUUGUCUUACAUGCUUAGAAUAUUUAAUUGAGUUAAAAAGUGUUAGAGAAUAUAAAAUAAAAAGUCCUAAUUGUAUUUUAAGUAUGUUUAUGUGUUAUGAUUACGGAUUAGAUAAUCGUCACAUGAAUACUCCUAAUGACAGUAAACAUAAUUAUAAAGACAUUGGAAACGAUAAUUACUAUAACAGUAACGAAAACAAUAUAGGUAAUAAAAAUAUAAUUUUUGUGAAAGAUAAAGAUAAAAGAGUAGAAUUAAUAAAGCAAUAUUUUAAUUUUGCAAAGUAUAACGAUACAGUUACAGUAGAUAUGAUCCGUGAUUUUUUUUUUUGUAAAAACGUUAAAAAUUUUGAAAAAGAAGAAAAGAAUAUAAAAUUAAAUGAUGUAUUAAUGGAAUGUUUUACUGAGAUUUGUGAAAUAAAACCAGAUGAAUAUAAUGCGAUAUCUUGGUUAUCUAAUUGGCUCGAACAAAAAGAGAAAGCAAUUAAAAGCAACAUACAGAUAAAGAAAAAACUGAAAAAAGAAUCGAAUGAAGUGGUUAUAUUAGGUCAGGAGAAUAAAGAAGAAAGUGAAAAUGGGGAAUUUUUGAAAGAGGAGGAUAAUAUGGAUGGAAGUGACAACACAGAAAGGGAUAGGUACGAUAAUAGUAUAAAAAAUGAAAAAGAUGAAUU
Molecule: long non-coding RNA, 1164 nt
Filed under: Piliocolobus tephrosceles (Ugandan red Colobus)
Lineage: Eukaryota; Metazoa; Chordata; Mammalia; Primates; Cercopithecidae
Description: lncRNA (ENSPTEG00000015354.1)
Source: RNAcentral